AACGAACGCUGGCGGCAUGCCUAACACAUGCAAGUCGAACGAGACCUUCGGGUCUAGUGGCGCAAGGGUGCGUAACGCGUGGGAACCUGCCCUUAGGUUCGGAAUAACUCCCCGAAAGGGGUGCUAAUACCGGAUAAUGUCUUCGGACCAAAGAUUUAUCGCCUUUGGAUGGGCCCGCGUUGGAUUAGCUAGUUGGUAGGGUAAAAGCCUACCAAGGCGACGAUCCAUAGCUGGUCUGAGAGGAUGAUCAGCCACACGGGGACUGGGACACGGCCCAGACUCCUACGGGAGGCAGCAGUGUGGAAUAUUGGUCAAUGGGUGAAAGCCUGAUCAAGCAAUGCCGCGUGAGUGAUGAAAGCAUUAGGGUUGUAAAGCUCUUUUACCCGGGAUGAUAAUGACAGUACCGGGAGAAUAAGCGCCGGCUAACUCCGUG
RNAcentral lists this ribosomal RNA (433 nucleotides) under uncultured bacterium. Its description in RNAcentral is "partial 16S ribosomal RNA". It matches the Rfam family "Bacterial small subunit ribosomal RNA", at positions 29 to 507 of the family's 1533-position model. The record is from RNAcentral.